This 380-nucleotide ribosomal RNA is filed under the name uncultured eukaryote. Its description in RNAcentral is "partial 18S ribosomal RNA". It matches the Rfam family "Eukaryotic small subunit ribosomal RNA", at positions 592 to 976 of the family's 1831-position model. The record is from RNAcentral.
CAAUAGCGUAUAUUAAAGUUGUUGCAGUUAAAAAGCUCGUAGUUGGAUUUGUGGCGUACGGUGUGUUCCGGGCACUUGUUGUCUGAGUAACCUGCUGUUGCCAUCCUUGGGUGGAACCUGUGUGGCAUUAGGUUGUCGUGCAGGGGAUGCUCAUCAUUUACUGUGAAAAAAUUAGAGUGUUCAAAGCAGGCUUAUGCCGUUGAAUAUAUUAGCAUGGAAUAAUGAGAUAGGACUUUUUUGCUAUUUUGUUGGUUUGCGCAAAGAGGUAAUGAUUAAUAGGGACAGUUGGGGGUAUUCGUAUUCCAUUGUCAGAGGUGAAAUUCUUGGAUUUUUGGAAGACGAACUACUGCGAAAGCAUUUACCAAGGAUGUUUUCAUUAA